Molecule: non-coding RNA, 21 nt
Filed under: Caenorhabditis elegans
Lineage: Eukaryota; Metazoa; Nematoda; Chromadorea; Rhabditida; Rhabditidae
Source: RNAcentral
UGUCUAUCAAAUUUCAAAAUU